RNAcentral lists this ribosomal RNA (468 nucleotides) under uncultured bacterium. RNAcentral describes it as "partial 16S ribosomal RNA". It matches the Rfam family "Bacterial small subunit ribosomal RNA", at positions 29 to 507 of the family's 1533-position model. The record is from RNAcentral.
UACGCACGCUGGCGGCGUGCUUAACACAUGCAAGUCGAACGGAAAGGCCCUGCUUUUGUGGGGUGCUCGAGUGGCGAACGGGUGAGUAACACGUGAGUAACCUGCCCUUGACUUUGGGAUAACUUCAGGAAACUGGGGCUAAUACCGGAUAGGAGCUCCUGCUGCAUGGUGGGGGUUGGAAAGUUUCGGCGGUUGGGGAUGGACUCGCGGCUUAUCAGCUUGUUGGUGGGGUAGUGGCUUACCAAGGCUUUGACGGGUAGCCGGCCUGAGAGGGUGACCGGCCACAUUGGGACUGAGAGACGGCCCAGACUCCUACGGGAGGCAGCAGUGGGGAAUAUUGCACAAUGGGCUGAAGCCUGAUGCAGCAACGCCGCGUGCGGGAUGACGGCCUUCGGUUUGUAAACCGCUUUCGCCUGUGACGAAGCGUGAGUGACGGUAAUGGGUAAAGAAGCACCGGCUAACUACGUG